AGCAUGUCUGCCUCAGCGUCGGUUUACACCCUCACCCCUCCCACUUUGUUGGGUUGUUUGGCAACUUUGCCAGCAUAGGUGGUGGAUCUGGCUUCCCCAAUCUGCCGUCUGGUAGAUUGGGUUGGCUGAAGAAUAGAGGUUUAAGCAAGGACCCGUUAUGGGCUUCAACUGGACACGUAGCACCGGCUUGUGCCGACUACACGAAGUUGAUGCUCGUGGAUCUUGCUAGAGGCCAAGCAGGAACGUGCCCAUGGCACGUCUAAACUUUCGACCUGAGCUCAGGCAAGGCUACCCGCUGAACUUAAGCAUAUCAAUAAGCGGAGGAA
RNAcentral lists this ribosomal RNA (326 nucleotides) under uncultured organism. Its description in RNAcentral is "eukaryotic LSU rRNA". The stretch from base 269 to 326 matches the Rfam family "Eukaryotic large subunit ribosomal RNA", at positions 1 to 58 of the family's 3401-position model. The record is from RNAcentral.